Non-coding RNA from Schizosaccharomyces pombe (fission yeast), 468 nucleotides. The record is from the annotation of a GenBank genome assembly. Lineage: Eukaryota; Fungi; Ascomycota; Schizosaccharomycetes; Schizosaccharomycetales; Schizosaccharomycetaceae.
UACAAAUCCACACACUGUGUUUUGUACAGGAAAGAAUGUAUACACAAGGGACGCCUGUCGAAUUUAUAUUCUCGGCCAAGAGCCAUCCUUGACAAGAGCCGAAGAUUUUCCGACAUCACUGACGUCAGUUAAAGUUUUCCCGAAGUACUCGCGUUGAUAUCUGCAGAUGAAAAAUUUUUCCGAGAUGUACCCUUGUACCCUGACAUCACCGCCUACUUGAGCAGACGCAGUUAGGAAAGGAAGGAGAGAGAAGCAGCAGCGCAUCACUGAAGGCAAGAUCAAACAAGGUGUUGUAUCGCAGUAGGGUUAAAUAGCUGAUAGCGUAGUCUAACAAGCAAGCCACAAUGCAAACACUAGCAUUUAAAUUCUCUUUGUGUUAAGGAAGGAAUGUGCUGGUAUGUUGAAGUUGGUCCAACAUUCCGAAUGUUAGUAACAACGAGAAACAAGGUUUUUUGACGUGUUUGUUUA